Ribosomal RNA from Loxodonta africana (African savanna elephant), 117 nucleotides. The record is from Ensembl. NCBI's taxonomy places the organism in Eukaryota, Metazoa, Chordata, Mammalia, Proboscidea, Elephantidae.
UAUGGCCAUACCACCCUGAUUGAGCCCUAUCUCAUCUGAUCUCAGAAGCUAAGCAGGGUCGGGCCUGGUUAGUAGUUAGACGGAAGACCACCUGGGAAUGACCUGGGAAGACCACCU